RNAcentral lists this unclassified non-coding RNA (224 nucleotides) under uncultured Ascomycota. RNAcentral describes it as "sequence contains 5.8S rRNA gene, ITS2, 28S rRNA gene". Lineage: Eukaryota; Fungi; Ascomycota. The record is from RNAcentral.
AACGCACAUUGCGCCCCCUGGUAUUCCGGGGGGCAUACCUGUUCGAGCGCCGUUUAAGCUCUGAGGCUAUGCCUUGCGAUGGCCUGCCCCGGACGGGGGCGGCUGAAAUGGAGAUGGAGCCGAGCGUGCCUGAGCCUGGUAGCACAAUACGAGGCGGGCAAGCUCUGGUGGCCGAUCUAAACGAACUUGGCCUCGAAUCAGGUGGGGAUACCCGCUGAACUUAA